GAAUGUUUCGAUCUAAAUGUUUAAUAUUGUUUAUUAUAAAAGUAACAUCGAUGUUUACGUCAUAUCAGGGAAUGCUCCGUCUUCGAUUUUACAAUGGACAGAUAAAUUAAUACGCGCCCAGUUUUAGCAGUUCCGACUGAAUUUAACGUCUGUUAUUUCUUUUGCAGAAUGCCUUGUUUCACAAAAAAGAACACUGUUCAGAUAUUUUCUCUGGACUGUCAAUUUCUGCAUUUCAUAAUCAUGUGAUACCUGUGUUGGAGCCCUCCCAAAAACCUCCCCUGUAAGAUUUCAAAGUUAAGGAGAUCAUUCAAAUGACAGAGGUUUUGGUCCAUCUUGGUUUGUCUCAACAGUUAAUCUUUUGGAAAGCAGUGUUGGAGAAAAUAUCAGCAACAUGU
Saccostrea echinata is the source of this 395-nucleotide long non-coding RNA. RefSeq lists it as uncharacterized. Lineage: Eukaryota; Metazoa; Mollusca; Bivalvia; Ostreida; Ostreidae. The transcript is spliced from 3 exons. The record is from RefSeq and is a predicted model, not a curated record.